GUGCAAUCAUCCUGCAAUUGUACCCCAUGGUGACCCCUUGUGUCGGGACAUGUUUGAGACCAGAUGGUCCAAAAUUAUGACAUGACACCCGCAACUCAGCAACUUUACUAUUACUCCUUGAUUGGUUUCUUAAUAUGUCAAGCAGUGACAUACCAGUAGGCAAGUGGAAGAACUCAUCCACAUCCAUAAAACCAACCCAUUCACACACAUCUCUAGCUCGUAAUGCACAAUGAGCAAAACCUGCCUCUUGAGUCUUGAUCCAAGGCCAAAC
RNAcentral lists this unclassified non-coding RNA (271 nucleotides) under Hevea brasiliensis (rubber tree). Lineage: Eukaryota; Viridiplantae; Streptophyta; Magnoliopsida; Malpighiales; Euphorbiaceae. The record is from RNAcentral.